RNAcentral lists this ribosomal RNA (510 nucleotides) under uncultured bacterium. RNAcentral's name for it is "partial 16S ribosomal RNA". It matches the Rfam family "Bacterial small subunit ribosomal RNA", at positions 28 to 507 of the family's 1533-position model. The record is from RNAcentral.
GACGAACGCUGGCGGCGUGCUUAACACAUGCAAGUCGAACGAAGAGCGAUGGAAGCUUGCUUCUAUCAAUCUUAGUGGCGCACGGGUGAGUAACGCGUAAUCAACCUGCCCUUCAGAGGGGGACAACAGUUGGAAACGACUGCUAAUACCGCAUACGAUCUAAUCUCGGCAUCGAGGAAAGAUGAAAGGUGGCCUCUAUUUAUAAGCUAUCACUGAAGGAGGGGAUUGCGUCUGAUUAGCUAGUUGGAGGGGUAACGGCCCACCAAGGCGAUGAUCAGUAGCCGGUCUGAGAGGAUGAACGGCCACAUUGGGACUGAGACACGGCCCAGACGCCUACGGGAGGCAGCAGUGGGGAAUCUUCCGCAAUGGACGAAAGUCUGACGGAGCAACGCCGCGUGAGUGAUGACGGCCUUCGGGUUGUAAAGCUCUGUUAAUCGGGACGAAAGGCCUUCUUGCGAACAGUUAGAAGGAUUGACGGUACCGGAAGAGAAAGCCACGGCUAACUACGUG